Molecule: non-coding RNA, 2293 nt
Organism: Anas platyrhynchos (mallard)
Lineage: Eukaryota; Metazoa; Chordata; Aves; Anseriformes; Anatidae
Source: RefSeq, a predicted model, not a curated record
UUCCUCCUGCAUUCAGACCAAAGGAAACUGACAUUGAUAUAUAGCAAUCAUCUGAGACAGCAAAAUCACUGUACUUCUUUACUGCUCACAUAAGCUCCUAUACUACUCAUCCAGGCUACUUACAUGGUGGUAACAUGGUGGUACAUUUGACAAAAUACCCAAAAUCUAUACUAAAACACCAAUGUUCAAAUAUCUCAUAGACAACUCCAUUACAGAUUUUAUACCUGUGUGUGUAUGUAUUUAUGUGGCUGUACUGAGCUAGAGCUACCUAGGCUCCCUCCUUUCACUCUCAGGAGCCAUUUUCAUUUGAGAAAUGCCAUUAAUAGCACGGCGUCAUGCUCACUUUCCUUUAAUAAGGGUAACUAAGUAGGUGUCGUCUUCUGGGGCAAACACCAAUAAAACUCUGUGAAUAAUUUAGUGAAGUAUGCUUAUAAAGUACACAGUACUCCAGUGUCAACAGAAACAGUUGUUCCCUCUCUGUAAAUAUUCACCUAACUCAUGUAUUCAUGACAUGGGGAUUGAUGAACCAAAUGCAUCCCAUCUAGAAAGAUUCCUACAAGCAUCAAGAGCAGGACCUACACCUUGAAAAGGGCAUGACAGAAGAAAAAUAACAGUAAUCUACACGUCUGCAAGCACUCAGAAACACGACAUGGUUAAAUUUCUCUGCAGCUAUGACUUCUAACCAGAACUUUUUUUUCCUACAACUUUUAAGUCAGCUUCAAAUUGAACUAGGUUUUUAACCCUUACAUGCUUGUAAGCAUAGAACAAUUAAGCAGUUGUGUACGCUGCUUCUAUACAGUAAUUAAAAAAAAUCUUUGUUGCCUUGCUUUCUAAGUGUAUCACUGUCAUUUGCCUCUCUGUCUGGACAACGUUCUAAGUGAAUUAUUUUCAUUUUCCUUUCCUGAAAUCUAAUUAGAAUUUGAAAAUAGUCAAGGCUGUAAAUCUCUGUGUUCUCUUCUUUUUCAGGCACAUACUCAGUUUCACUAUAGUUCUCAAGGCAUUCCAAGCUGUAUUUUACUGAAGUUUAUAAUAGUAAUUUAUAGAUCAAAUAACAUUGUGAGUAUAAACCACACAAGGUCCUAACCCCCAAAAAAUGAACAACUGAAAAGGACAGAUUUUUUUUCAGAACUUCUGUUGAAUUUGAGGGGUUUCUGCACACAAACUGUUUAGGGGAGCAGGCCCUGACUAGAACACCCUGUGGCAGAAGGGAAGCAACAUCAAAGGCACAGCGGGAAAAAGCAAAGUAGGACACUGCCUCUGGCAGCAGAAAGCCACAGCCUCACUCCUUCUGUGACCGCAGCUAGAACAGUGGAAAGCUCUGGAAGGAGUAUUACCUAGGAAGACAGAGUUCCUGGUAGUUCUAAAGAAUCACUGCUUCCAGCUGUUUCAGAGGACGUCAUUGACAAAGCCCUCAGAACAGUUAGCGUGAGGAUUUUUGCUUCCGUAUUCUCCGCUGCGUCGCAUACAAUCAUUACCUCUGCUACAGCUCCUGCUUCUGAUACUUCUGUGCUUUGGGGAAUUGUGUGUGCCUGACUUCUCUGCCACACACGGACUUCCUAUGACUUAGUAUCUUCUUGCACUAAAAUGGGGAGGAAACAAUCAUCCAAGUUCAUCAUUGUGUUGAGGUAGAAGUCUUAAAAAUUAGCCUCUAUAACCUAUUAGGAAUCAUAAUGUUUAUGAGUUGUUUACACUUAAAUAAUACUUAACAGUAUGCAACUAAAUUAAGCAGUGCUAAGACAUACUAAUCCAUUAAAAUAUUUCUGUAGUCUGUAGGAAGCAGCAGGUUUAUUUACAGAAAGAAUUGCAACAUGAGAUUCAAUAGUUUUUAUCUCAGAAUUUACUGUAAUACUGCCAUAUGUUUUCUGAAGGUUUAAGAGAAGGUUUUCUAAAGGUUUAUUACUGUUCAAAUGUAAUCAGAUACCACAGUUUGUUUCCAGUAAUGUACUGCAUUUUCUCCAUGAUUAACAUCAUUUAAAAGAAGUGCAAUUGUAUUUAUGUUCAAUGUCAAAAAUGUGCUUUACAAUAUUAAAAAAUAAUUGUUUCUUAAGUCUCUAGAUGCCGGAUAUUGAUAGUAUUUUUCUAUUAUUUUUAGCUUUCCAUUCAUAUUAUAAAAAUAUCAUUUCAUCAUAUUUUUCAAUACUUAGAUCACAAAUCAGAUCACAAAGUUAAGUUAUGCUUUAAAAUAGGAAAAAAUCUUAACUGGCCUAGUAACCCUGUAAGCAGAGGAUGUAGCAGCACAUAAAACUUUACAACAGAGUAUUUUAUGACUGAAAUAAAAGUCUUUUUGAACUCU